UGGGGAAUAUUGGACAAUGGGCGCAAGCCUGAUCCAGCCAUGCCGCGUGAGUGACGAAGGUCUUCGGAUUGUAAAGCUCUUUUAGCAGGGAAGAUAAUGACGGUACCUGCAGAAUAAGCCCCGGCUAACUUCGUGCCAGCAGCCGCGGUAAUACGAAGGGGGCUAGCGUUGUUCGGAUUUACUGGGCGUAAAGCGCGUGUAGGCGGGCUGGAAAGUUGGGGUGAAAUCCCGAGGCUCAACCUCGGAACUGCCUCCAAAACUUCCAGCCUGGACUCAAGUAGAGGCAAGUGGAAUUGCGAGUGUAGAGGUGAAAUUCGUAGAUAUUCGCAGGAACACCAGUGGCGAAGGCGACUUGCUGGACUUGUAGUGACGCUGAGACGCGAAAGCGUGGGGAGCAAACAGGAUUAGAUACCCCGGUAGUCCCUGAGCGGGCUGGCAAGGCGCAU
Molecule: ribosomal RNA, 446 nt
Filed under: uncultured bacterium
Lineage: Bacteria
Description: bacterial SSU rRNA
Rfam family: Bacterial small subunit ribosomal RNA
Source: RNAcentral